GACGAACGCUGGCGGCGUGCCUAAUACAUGCAAGUAGAACGCACAGUUUAUACCGUAGCUUGCUACACCAUAGACUGUGAGUUGCGAACGGGUGAGUAACGCGUAGGUAACCUGCCUGGUAGCGGGGGAUAACUAUUGGAAACGAUAGCUAAUACCGCAUAAUAUUGAUUAUUGCAUGAUAAUUAAUUGAAAGGUGCAAUUGCACCACUACCAGAUGGCCCUGCGUUGUAUUAGCUAGUAGGGGAGGUAACGGCUCACCUAGGCGACGAUACAUAGCCGAACUGAGAGGGUGAUCGGCCACACUGGGAAUGAGAAACGGCCCAGACUCCUACGGGAGGGAGCAGUAGGGAAUCUUCGGCAAUGGACGAAAGUCUGAACGAGCAACGCCGCGUGAGUGAAGAAGGUUUUCGGAUCGUAAAGCUCUGUUGUAAGAGAAGAACGGGUGUGAGAGUGGAAAGUUCACACUGUGACGGUAUCUUACCAGAAAGGGACGGCUAACUACGUG
This 505-nucleotide ribosomal RNA is filed under the name uncultured bacterium. RNAcentral describes it as "partial 16S ribosomal RNA". It matches the Rfam family "Bacterial small subunit ribosomal RNA", at positions 28 to 507 of the family's 1533-position model. The record is from RNAcentral.